Molecule: long non-coding RNA, 917 nt
Organism: Gasterosteus aculeatus aculeatus (three-spined stickleback)
Lineage: Eukaryota; Metazoa; Chordata; Actinopteri; Perciformes; Gasterosteidae
Source: Ensembl
GGUGGCUGCUGCCUGCAGUAGUGACCUGCUUUUGUGACCGUUCUCUUUUUUUUUUUUCUUUGGAUGUUUUUUUUUUAGGUUAUGGCAGAGGAAGGAGGGGUCCUUAAUUUGUGUCCCACCUGCGUAACGUAGGUACUAGUAGUAGUAGUAGUAGUAGUAGUAGCAGUAGUAGUUCAGUGUUGACAUUGAAACGUCACACAGAUACUUUUAAAAAAAUUGUGAUUUCUCCAAUAACGGACAAAUCAGCCCAGCAGGAGCAAACAGCCACAACCCAUCUUACGUCUGACAGAAGGGAAAAACAUUUGACUCUUUUCCAGGAUGAACUUGCUUGGCAUCUCACAGCAGGUAAAGCACUUGUAGGUGAUAUCAUUAAUUGCAGCUGCAGUCCUCUCUUGUAUCUGAUACGUUGCCCAGAUAUUCUCACUGACGCGUCUUGUUGGGAAACCAGAGCAGAACAACGGCAUCGUUUAUCUAAAAAAGCCAGACGACGCAACUGGUGCAACUUCCUGCGUGGUUACAAAGAAGCCACCGAGUUUCUCCCGCGGCUGCAGGCAUUUGAGGCAACGCGGGAGUCAGCUUGAGUUCUCCCGCUUAGGAGUCGAUCCUACACACAGAUAUGUGGCUGACGGAUGAUCCGGGGGGACUGUUUGUGAGUGAAAAAAAAUGUGUUUUCUCCUCUGGGUUUAUGAAUCCCCAAGUGGAGCAGAUGUUUUAGUUUGACCGUGACUGGCUGUAUUUACUACAGCUGUGCAGAGAAGUUACUUCCACAGAUUGUAUUUUAAGCAAUUUCUAUUCUAAAACAGACCAGAGGAAUAACUGAGGUACACGACCCGCACAUCAAAGACUCAGACCCCCAAACAUUUGGAUUGAAUGAAAUCCAAUUUAUCAAAGAAGUUUCCCGUUACAAGAGCACAGAG